AGGAGGUUCGGAGAAUUGUGAGUCAGUGCUCUAUGGAGGGUCGGUAUUCAUGAAAGUAUGUACGGCACGGAGGAAGGAUUUGCUCGAGAACGCCGUUCCUGAGUAAACUACUACUAAGGUAAGCGAUAUAUAUAUGGCGAUGACGUCUAUUUACAAACCGGUACUUCUCGACAACUAAAGGUUAGCAAAUAGUUUGUUGCGUACUGAAUAAUAAUUUUGCCUGAUAAGUCUAACUAGUUUGCAAAAAAAAAAAAAGAAAAGAAAAGAAAAAAAAUUCAUGAUAUAUUGUAUCAAAUGGAUGCAAAAUUGCUCAUGCAUUGGCCUCCCGGAUUUGUUCCCCAGAAACCCACCAGUGAGUGGAUUUAUUUCUUUUUCUGACACCUACUUCAACUAAUGGG
RNAcentral lists this small RNA (398 nucleotides) under Histoplasma capsulatum var. duboisii H88. RNAcentral's name for it is "Histoplasma capsulatum H88 hypothetical RNA". Lineage: Eukaryota; Fungi; Ascomycota; Eurotiomycetes; Onygenales; Ajellomycetaceae. The record is from RNAcentral.